This 715-nucleotide ribosomal RNA is filed under the name uncultured Colwellia sp. RNAcentral's name for it is "bacterial SSU rRNA". It matches the Rfam family "Bacterial small subunit ribosomal RNA", at positions 56 to 763 of the family's 1533-position model. Lineage: Bacteria; Pseudomonadati; Pseudomonadota; Gammaproteobacteria; Alteromonadales; Colwelliaceae. The record is from RNAcentral.
UGCAGUCGAGCGGUAACAUUUCUAGCUUGCUAGAAGAUGACGAGCGGCGGACGGGUGAGUAAUGCUUGGGAAUAUGCCUUAUGGUGGGGGACAACAGUUGGAAACGACUGCUAAUACCGCAUAACGUCUACGGACCAAAGGAGGGGACCUUCGGACCUUUCGCCAUUUGAUUAGCCCAAGUGAGGUUAGCUAGUAGGUGAGGUAAGAGCUCACCUAGGCGACGAUCUCUAGCUGGUUUGAGAGGAUGAUCAGCCACACUGGGACUGAGACACGGCCCAGACUCCUACGGGAGGCAGCAGUGGGGAAUAUUGCACAAUGGGCGAAAGCCUGAUGCAGCCAUGCCGCGUGUGUGAAGAAGGCCUUCGGGUUGUAAAGCACUUUCAGUUGUGAGGAAAGGGGUGUAGUUAAUAACUGCAUUCUGUGACGUUAACAACAGAAGAAGCGCCGGCUAACUUCGUGCCAGCAGCCGCGGUAAUACGAGGGGUGCAAGCGUUAAUCGGAAUUACUGGGCGUAAAGCGUUCGUAGGCGGUCUAUUAAGCAAGAUGUGAAAGCCCAGGGCUCAACCUUGGAACUGCAUUUUGAACUGGUAGACUAGAGUACUGUAGAGGGUGGUGGAAUUUCCAGUGUAGCGGUGAAAUGCGUAGAGAUUGGAAGGAACAUCGGUGGCGAACGCGGCCACCUGGACAGAUACUGACGCUGAGGAACGAAAGCGUG